ACCACCAGCACCACUUCCCACGAGCCGCACCUCACACCACCACCAGCACCACGCCAUCUCCAUCUUCGCCGCCGCGCCACCGCUCGCACAAUCUCUUCUUCCCCUGCUGCUCCUUCCUUCUCCUCACCACGCUGCUGCUUCCCCUCUCACGCCCCUGGUACUGCUCCUUCUCACAUUCCUGCUGCUGCUGCUGCUCGUCUUGUGCCCCUGGUGCUGCUCCUCCUUCCCUCGUCCUUGCUGCUGCUCUCUCCCUCUCUGUUGCUCUUCUCUGAAUCCCCUACUGCUGCUACUCCACUUCCUGUGCUCCCCUUCUUCUUCUAUGAAUCUCGCUGCUGCUGCUCCUCCUCUUAAAACGGCUGCUGCUCCCUCUCCCACUUUCCUCGCUGCUGUUCCCUCUCUCUUCUCACCAAAAUUGCUGAUGUCCUCUUCUCCAUUUGCGUGCUGCCACACCCUUCCUGAAGCUCUCUCAACUUUAUUUUGUUCUGUAUUAGUACUAUUUUGUCUGUAUGUCAGUUAGUUUGCUGUAAUAAUUCAGAUUACUUGUGAUCUUUGUGUUGAAUGUGAUUUCAGUGAACUUGAGAUUUGUAAUAUUGCUCAAUAUUCAGUCUAUAAUGUCUAAAACUUUGUGAUUCGGUGGUGUCUAUAUUCAAUAUAUAUAACCUGUGAUAUAUAUCUUUUAGAUGGUUCAAUCUUUUAGUUAUUGUUGUACUGAUAUAUGUUAAGGUGAUUUGGCUUGUGUGAUACGAGUCUAGUACAUGUGCUAUAUAAAUUCGUGUGUGUUUCUGGUGUAAACCAUCUAUAUUGUGUCUUUUAAUCUUGUUUCUUCCUUCUUCUUACAUGUUAGAUGGUUAUGUGUUCAUGUGUUGCAUCUUCUCGGUGUGUAUUUUAAUUCUUCUAGUAUAAUAAAAAUACCAAAAAGACAGUGAAGAAAAUCUGAACCUUCCUUUGCCCUUUUUGCAUUUUCUUUGGUGACGAUCUUUGGGUACAACCUUGUUUAGUGUAGGUUUAUUUUCUUGCAUUCAUAAUCUGAAUUGUGUUACCUAGCUUUAGCCAAGCACGUUCAUUGAUUUGCCUAGUCCCUGAGGAGAACACGACACUCGUAGUUUGGGGCGUAAAAACCCCGCUAUAUUACAACUGAUCAUUUUGGCGCCGUUGCCGGGGACUAGCGUCGUGUGACUGUGUUAGGCUUUAGACUAGGUUUAGCUUGUUUCCUUUUUGUGCUUUAUAUAUUUGUGAUAUAUCUCUAGCCACUAACCCCUAUUCUAGUUAGUAUCUUUUCGUCUUCUUUUCCUUUUUUGCAGGUUGGAUUAUCCUCUCGGCUAUGGCUUACUAUUCAGGCUUAUGCGAGGAACACUACAAACAGCACGGAAAGUGUUCAAGAACUGAUAGGUAAGAUUUCCCAUCGAUUAGAUGAUUUAGCUCGGCAGCGAGAAGGAGUUUUUGAGGAUAGGCCUAGUUCUUACGAUCCUUAUUCCAGAGGCCAUCCUUAUGUUGCUCCUACUUGCCAUAUUUGUGGAUUUCAGGGCCAUUCGCCCGCUGAAUGUCAGCGUGGUUACUCCCAUCCUACGGAUUGUUUUGGCAUGAGCUUCGCUCAACAGCAUAGCUCAUACCAAAACAAUUACUCACAUGGGUGGCCUGAAAGCCUGAAUAUGUCAUAUAGGAGCAACAACCCUAAGAUCUCACAGUUUGGUUCUAGUAAUCAUAUGCAGGGAUUUAGGUACAAUGAGGAGAGCCACAACUAUGCACCACAACAAUUCCAUUCAGCUCCUACUCAUAUACCACAGCACCAGGAGAUGUGUCCAAUGGAGUUAAAUGGUCCUCCAUUUGGUCAACCAACAACUCCAGCACCUGUUGUGCAAUCUCAUGUGCAAGUGCCCACACAAGAUGAGUUCAAUGACAUAGACAAGCUCACACUUUUGAGUCUCGAGUUCACUUGGAGUGCCGAGGAUGAUCCUAUUAGGAAGGUUAUACUAGAUGAAAUGAAGAAGAUCAAGAGUGGAAAAGAGCUAGUGGAAGAAGUAAGGAAGAUUGAGAACAACAUCAACACUGGCAGCACUAUUUCUUCACAGCUAGAGCUGAGUGUUGCCGAGAUUCCCCUUGAUACAUGUGAGGUUCCAACACCGUCACAUCCAGUUGAGCAAGAUAGUAAGAGUCCAGAGGAAGAAAGACCUCAGAUUGAAGAAGAUGAACUAGAAGACAAGGAACAAGAUGAUCAAGAGCUGCAAUUCCCAAGUGAUCAAGUUGAAGACUCAUCAUCUACUACUCCUAAAGAAGUACAAGAAGCUGCUGUAGAUGAAGAUGAAGAACAUGAGAUUCAUUUGCCUAUUGUCAUACCAGAGCGUGAUGUGUCAGGUUUACCCAAUCCUCUUGAUGACAUGAUGCCUUGUAAUUUCUUUGCUACUACCUUGCAUUACAUGAUACCAUCAAUUAAGCUAGACUUGAAAAAUUAUUUGCUUGGACAUGAUCAUACAUACAUUGUUGGUGGCAUUGCUCUCAUUCCUGAUGAUGACACUUAUUUUCCUUAUGCUAGUUCUAUGCUUAAUGAAACAUAUUAUUCCCAUGCUAGUCUUGAGCUUAAUGAUAAAUUUCAUCCUCAUGUUAGUGUCGACCUUGCUGAUUUCUACCAUCCUAAACAUGUGCUUUAUAGUUAUGCUUAUAUAAUUGGAUAUUACAUUGAUGACUUGGAGGGCAUCGACCGUAUCACUUGUAGUUGUUUGUGUGAGUCCUAUUUCAGGCUUUUGCUACUGCACUGUUUACUACAUGCUGACCAGGUUCGAGGUGACAUUCCUUGGGAUCCUGGUGGAGUCAGAGCAUGGCGAUGAGGAGAAGCAAUGGGGCACACAUAUGGAAGAGUGAAGCUGGAGCAUCCAUGAGGAAGCAAGGGAGAAGAGCUGCAGCUGGUGAGGUGAUCGAGCGAGUGCUACAUCAUCAAAGCCCGGUGAGCUGUUUCAUGACCCAUUCUGAAUAUCAUAAAUACAUGCUGAAUUAAAUUGCUAGUUGGGUUGCUUGAGCUAGUUAUUACUUGUUGUCAAGCUGAAAUUCACCUUUGGCAUUGUGCUUGAUGUGAAUUUGUGAACUUGAUUUCUGAAUGCCUUGUAAACUAGUGAUCUACACCAUGCAUGCUUUGCUGAAAUUUGUGGAAGUUAUUAGUUUUGAGUGCUCAAAUCCCUAGUACACUAGAAAACUUGAUCAUUUUCUGCUUUUACCUUGAUACACCUAGAUCACCAUGUUUAGAUGCUGAAUUUGUGCUAAGUGUGUUCCCAUUGAGAGCAAUCACCUAACCACUAUGGAUUAGCAUGCUAUGUUCCCUGGAUCGGUAGCAUGUGAACCAGACAUGGAGAAGCGAUGAUUCCUAUUUUUGUGCUUAUGAGUUGUUCAUUUAAGAUAAGUAAUAAUGAAUAUAUAAGUCUGGCUACCUACAGUAGCAUGUCAUGUUACCGGGAUCGGUGGCAUGUGAAAUCGGGUUAGCUUGGGCAGUAAUUAAUAAUAAUAAAAAUGUAAUUGUCGAACCAGGUGUAUACCAUGUUCUCGGGAUCGGUGGUAUGUUCCUUUGGGGAGACAAAUAAUUUUUUUUAAUUAAAAUUGGUUGAGCCAGGUGUAUACCAUGUUCUCGGGAUCGGUGGUAUGUUCCUUCGGUGAGACUAAUAAAUUAUUAUGUGUGUUUCUUUCAAAUUCAAUAAGUGGUUCAACCACAAAGUCAUAUUUCUGCAAAUAAGAGACUUAAUUCUAGUUCUUUUUGUUCUCGGGAUCAUGCUCUCUUUAGGAACCAUUUGGCGCAGUCAUCAUUUAAACUUGUUGAUCCUCUUUUAUCACUUUAAAAGUUUAAAAUGGUCAUGCUUACUAGUAUCCUACUGCUUUGUAGCACUCCUAACCAUUAAUUUUCACUAGCUAAGUCUGAAGCAUGCCUUGUUUGGAGAUCUAUUUUACCAGGACAUUCCUUACUCAGUUUACUAUUCAUUAUCUUGCCUUUGUCAUAUUCCUUUGCUUGAGGACAAGCAAAGAUUUAAGUGUGGGGGAACUUGAUAAGUGCAUUUCAUAUAUAUAAUUUGGCACUCAAAUUUAGCAUCUAUCGUGAUUUAUCCAUCCAUUCUUGCUAUGAGUUUAAAUAUAUUUGAAUGAAAAUCAUAUAAAAGAUCAUUUACUUGUCAUUUGUUUAUUUUGCAGAAAAGUGCGAUAAGGCACUAUAAUCUUGAAGAUCUUGUCUACAAAGAAAGAGGAUACAAGACCGAGGGCCAAUAGAAGAGAAGGGGGGACUCGAGUAUGAAGAAUUAAAGAAAUGGAGGGCCAAAACUAAAGAAGAAAGGGAUCUACUUGAGGCUAAAGAAGAGAAGAAGGAGGGCAAAAGUGCAAAAAUGCAGAUCUGGGAGGGGAUCAAAAUCCCUAGCCGCAUCUCCAUUGCAAUCAGGCCUGGCAUCUCCAUCUCCCUCACCCUCCUUCUCCACCUCCGGCCGCCGCCACGGCCAGGCCGGCGUGGUGGUGCGCCCCUCACCAUCACACCAUCACCAUCGCCUCUAGCCACGACCAUCUCCACCAUGCACCACCAGCACCACUUCCCACGAGCCGCACCUCACACCACCACCAGCACCACGCCAUCUCCAUCUUCGCCGCCGCGCCACCGCUCGCACAAUCUCUUCUUCCCCUGCUGCUCCUUCCUUCUCCUCACCACGCUGCUGCUUCCCCUCUCACGCCCCUGGUACUGCUCCUUCUCACGUUCCUGCUGCUGCUGCUCGUCUUGUGCCCCUGGUGCUGCUCCUCCUUCCCUCGUCCUUGCUGCUGCUCUCUCCCUCUCUGUUGCUCUUCUCUGAAUCCCCUACUGCUACUACUCCACUUCCUCUGCUCCCCUUCUUCUUCUCUGAAUCUCGCUGCUGCUGCUCCUCCUCUUAAAACUGCUGCUGCUCCCUCUCCCACUUUCCUCGCUGCUGUUCCCUCUCUCUUCUCACCAAAAUUGCUGCUGUCCUCUUCUCCAUUUGCUUGCUGCUACACCCUUCCUGAAGCUCUCUCAACUUUAUUUUGUUCUGUAUUAGUACUGUUUUUGUCUGUAUGCCAGUUAGUUUGCUGUAAUAAUUCAGAUUACUUGUGAUCUUUGUGUUGAAUGCGAUUUCAGUGAACUUGAGAUUUGUAAUAUUGCUCAAUAUUCAGUCUAUAAUGUAUGAAACUUUGUGAUUCGGUGGUGU
RNAcentral lists this long non-coding RNA (5174 nucleotides) under Triticum aestivum (bread wheat). RNAcentral's name for it is "long non-coding RNA (TAES_LNC016193)". The record is from RNAcentral. Lineage: Eukaryota; Viridiplantae; Streptophyta; Magnoliopsida; Poales; Poaceae.